This 72-nucleotide transfer RNA is filed under the name Capra hircus (goat). It matches the Rfam family "tRNA". Rfam says of the family: Transfer RNA (tRNA) molecules are approximately 80 nucleotides in length. Their secondary structure includes four short double-helical elements and three loops (D, anti-codon, and T loops). RNAcentral also lists the same sequence under 1 other name. The record is from Rfam by way of RNAcentral. Lineage: Eukaryota; Metazoa; Chordata; Mammalia; Artiodactyla; Bovidae.
UCCUUGGUGGCUCAGAAAGUAAAGAGUCUGCCUGCAAUGCAGGAGACCCAGGUUUGAUCCCUGGGUUGGGAA